This 435-nucleotide ribosomal RNA is filed under the name uncultured bacterium. RNAcentral describes it as "bacterial SSU rRNA". It matches the Rfam family "Bacterial small subunit ribosomal RNA", at positions 957 to 1391 of the family's 1533-position model. The record is from RNAcentral.
GAACGCGAAGAACCUUACCAGGUCUUGACAUUGAUGGACAGAACUAGAGAUAGUUCCUCUUCUUCGGAAGCCAGAAAACAGGUGGUGCACGGUUGUCGUCAGCUCGUGUCGUGAGAUGUUGGGUUAAGUCCCGCAACGAGCGCAACCCCUAUCUUAUGUUGCCAGCACUUCGGGUGGGAACUCAUGAGAGACUGCCGCAGACAAUGCGGAGGAAGGCGGGGAUGACGUCAAAUCAUCAUGCCCCUUAUGACCUGGGCUACACACGUACUACAAUGGGAGUUAAUAGACGGAAGCAAUACCGCGAGGUGGAGCAAACCCGAGAAACACUCUCUCAGUUCGGAUCGUAGGCUGCAACUCGCCUACGUGAAGUCGGAAUCGCUAGUAAUCGCAGGUCAGCAUACUGCGGUGAAUACGUUCCCGGGUCUUGUACACACC